This 1961-nucleotide ribosomal RNA is filed under the name human gut metagenome. Its description in RNAcentral is "bacterial LSU rRNA". It matches the Rfam family "Bacterial large subunit ribosomal RNA", at positions 3 to 1991 of the family's 2925-position model. The record is from RNAcentral.
UCAAGCAAAAAAGAGCGCAGGGUGGAUGCCUUGGCACUAAGAGCCGAAGAAAGACGUGAUAAGCUGCGAAAAGCUGCGGGGAGGAGCAAAUAUCCACUGAUCCGCAGAUGUCUGAAUGGGGAAACCCGCAUGAGCACACCUCAUGCAUCCAUACGCCAAUCCAUAACGUAUGGAAGGGAACCGCCUGAACUGAAACAUCUAAGUAGGGCGAGGAAGAGAAAGAAAAUUUAUCGAUUUCCAAAGUAGCGGCGAGCGAAAUGGAAAGAGGCCAAACCGGAGUGCGUGCACUCCGGGGUUCGGACCGCAUUUAAGAUCUGAUGAUCCUAGCAGAAAGGUUUUGGGAAAGCCUGCCGGAGAGGGUGAAAGCCCCGUAAGCGAAAGGAAAGCCAGCUGAGCGGUAUCCAGAGUACAUCGAGACACGAGAAACCUUGAUGGAAUGAGCGGGGACCACCCCGUAAGCCUAAAUACUCCUUAGUGACCGAUAGCGCAUAGUACUGUGAAGGAAAGGUGAAAAGGACCCCGGGAGGGGAGUGAAAGAGAACCUGAAACCCUGUGUUUACAAGCUGUGGGACAUCUUUACAUGAUGAACCGCGUACUUUUUGUAGAACGGUCCGGCGAGUUGCGGAUGCCGGCAAGGUUAAGCACUUAAGGUGUGGAGCCGAAGGGAAACCAAGUCUGAAGAGGGCGCAUAUAGUCAGUAUCCGCAGACCCGAAACCGGGUGAUCUACCCAUGUCCAGGUUGAAGUUGCCGUAAAAGGCAAUGGAGGACCGAACGCACAUCCGUUGAAAAGGGUGGCGAUGAGGUGUGGGUAGGGGAGAAAUUCCAAUCGAACCCGGAGAUAGCUGGUUCUCCUCGAAAUAGCUUUAGGGCUAGCCUCGUUUUAGUCUUAUGGAGGUAGAGCACUGAAUUUCCGCGGGGGCGUCAAAGCUUACCAAAGAAUAUCAAACUCCGAAUGCCAUGUAGAUGAUGAACGGGAGUCAGACUGCACGAGAUAAGUUGGGCAGUCAAAAGGGAAAGAGCCCAGACCGCCAGCCAAGGUCCCAAAGUGUGUGUUAAGUGGAAAAGGAUGUGGGAUCUCCAAGACAACUAGGAUGUUGGCUCAGAAGCAGCCACACAUUCAAAGAGUGCGUAACAGCUCACUAGUCGAGAGGUCCUGCGCCGAAAAUGUCCGGGGCUGAAACACAACACCGAAGCUGCGGAAUUGCGAAUGCAAUUGGUAGAGGAGCAUUCUUAAUACCGACGAAGCUGUACCGGAAGGAGCAGUGGAGGGAUAAGAAGAGAGAAUGCCGGAAUGAGUAGCGAGAGAGAGGUGGGAAUCCUCUCGGCCGAAUAUCCAAGGUUUCCAGAGUAAAGCUGAUCUGCUCUGGGUAAGUCGGGGCCUAAGGCGAGGUCAGGUGACGUAGCCGAUGGACAACAGGUUUAGAUUCCUGUACCGCAUAUAAACAGAACUGUGGGGACGCAUGGGGAGAGCAUGGGCCGGGAAUGGAAAUACCGGUGCAAGCGAAGGAGGUGUGCAGCCGGCAAAUCCGCUGCAUGAGCCGAAAGCGUGACGCGGAGCGAAAUGAAAGUAGCGAAGCAUGUGAGCCCUGUGCCGAGAAAAGCCGCUAUAGCUUUAUAUGUGCCCGUACCGUAAACCGACACAGGUGGAUGAGGAGAGAAUCCUAAGGCCGGCGGAAGAAGUAUUGUUAAGGAACUCGGCAAAAUGACCCCGUAACUUCGGGAGAAGGGGUGCCCACGGGAGUGGGCCGCAGAGAAUAGGCUCAAGCAACUGUUUAGCAAAAACACAGGUCUAUGCGAAACCGAAAGGUGAAGUAUAUGGGCUGACGCCUGCCCGGUGCUGGAAGGUUAAGAGGAGAGGUUAGCGCAAGCGAAGCUUUGAAUUUAAGCCCCAGUAAACGGCGGCCGUAACUAUAACGGUCCUAAGGUAGCGAAAUUCCUUGUCGGGUAAGUUCCGACCCGC